GGGUGACUUAGCAAGUUUUAUAAAAAGGAUCUCAGUGUUGCUUGGGAGAAGCACACAGGAAAGGGCCGUGCUGAAGGAGCGCACAUUGAAGAAAUGUGAGGAUAGGUAGGACCUAGCAGGUUACCUGGGCUGACACGUUCGAUCCCGGGCUGCUCGUGGUGAUCGUUGGGGUGUGGACAGCAGGGGACUUGGCGGAACAGUCCCCCUGAGGUGUGAACAUGUUACUUAGGUGUAUAUGUAAGCUCUGCCUUAGAAGCUCGUUUGCAUCCUUGUCAAUGAAUAAGAUGAGGAGGAGGGCAGAAGCAGAGGCUGAGCCCUGUGGUUAAGGAGACUCAAGCCAGACGAGGAUGGACUCAGCCACUGCAAUCACACGGCUGCCGGCUUCCACAAUGGAGGGAGCACUCCGAGGACUGCAGCUACAGAAAGAUUUGACGCCACCCUGACGGUGUGCAUUGGCACCUUCUGCUUGGCAGCACCAUUCGGCCCACACGCCUCGUCUUUGAUGUGCUGGAUCCCCAGGACUGGAACCUGGCUUUGCCCCUUUCAAGGGCCUUUCUCCCACCCACAAGAAACCCAACACUGGAACUGCUCUCAUCUCCUCCAGACUCACCCCUUGCAUCAAGCAGCCUCAUUUCUGAUGGUAAUGGGGUGUCAUCCGGAAAGGGUGGGAGCAGGAGAGGAGACACAAAUUCGGUGCCCUGCAGGUACCUGGGGCUGUCAGAGGAACCGGGUAGAAAUCCAGUAAUGCAUGUUUAAUGUAUUAAAAAGGAAGGGAAAAAAGCAAAGCGUCCACCCGAUGUUCCGGCCGCCGACUUGCAUUGGGGGCAUUAUCUCGGGCCAGUGGACUCCGAGCAAGUCAAGUGUGGAGACGUGGACAGGGGCCAGGGCACCCCCACCUGCGGCUGUCAUAUCUGCUGAAGGCCCACUUGUCAUAGCCGGACGGGGGCAGGAGGGGGACAAACAUCUCAGCCG
This 972-nucleotide long non-coding RNA is filed under the name Fukomys damarensis (Damara mole-rat). RNAcentral describes it as "lncRNA (ENSFDAG00000033567.1)". The record is from RNAcentral. Lineage: Eukaryota; Metazoa; Chordata; Mammalia; Rodentia; Bathyergidae.